Molecule: ribosomal RNA, 430 nt
Filed under: uncultured bacterium
Lineage: Bacteria
Description: bacterial SSU rRNA
Rfam family: Bacterial small subunit ribosomal RNA
Source: RNAcentral
UCGAGGAUCUUCGGCAAUGGGCGCAAGCCUGACCGAGCGACGCCGCGUGGGCGAUGAAGGCCUUCGGGUUGUAAAGCCCUGUCGAGGGGGAGAAAGUGGAAACUUGAUCUAUCCCUGGAGGAAGCACGGGCUAAGUUCGUGCCAGCAGCCGCGGUAAGACGAACCGUGCGAACGUUGUUCGGAAUCACUGGGCUUAAAGGGCGCGUAGGCGGGCCGCCAAGUCCGCGGUGAAAUCCCCCGGCUCAACCGGGGAACUGCCGCGGAUACUGGAGGUCUCGAGGGGGGUAGGGGCAUGCGGAACUACGGGUGGAGCGGUGAAAUGCGUUGAUAUCCGUAGGAACUCCGGUGGCGAAGGCGGCGUGCUGGACCCCUUCUGACGCUGAGGCGCGAAAGCCAGGGGAGCGAACGGGAUUAGAUACCCCCGUAGUCC